This 383-nucleotide ribosomal RNA is filed under the name uncultured eukaryote. RNAcentral's name for it is "partial 18S ribosomal RNA". It matches the Rfam family "Eukaryotic small subunit ribosomal RNA", at positions 592 to 976 of the family's 1831-position model. The record is from RNAcentral.
CAAUAGCGUAUAUUAAAGUUGUUGCAGUUAAAAAGCUCGUAGUUGGAUUUCUGGUGGGAGCGAUCGGUCUGGCGCUUAGCGCGAGUACUUGCAUCGUCUCCGGCCAUCCUUGGGGAGAGUCUGUCUGGCAUUAGGUUGUCGGGCAGAGGAUCCUCAUCGUUUACUGUGAAAAAAUUAGAGUGUUCAAAGCAGGCUUAUGCCGUUGAAUAUAUUAGCAUGGAAUAAUAAGAUAGGACUUUGGUACUAUUUUGUUGGUUUGCGCACCAAAGUAAUGAUUAAUAGGGACAGUUGAGGGUAUUCGUAUUCCGUUGUCAGAGGUGAAAUUCUUGGAUUUACGGAAGACGAACUACUGCGAAAGCAUUUACCAAGGAUGUUUUCAUUAA